Molecule: unclassified non-coding RNA, 517 nt
Filed under: uncultured Glomus
Lineage: Eukaryota; Fungi; Glomeromycota; Glomeromycetes; Glomerales; Glomeraceae
Description: SSU rRNA
Rfam family: Eukaryotic small subunit ribosomal RNA
Source: RNAcentral
AGCAGCCGCGGUAAUUCCAGCUCCAAUAGCGUAUAUUAAAGUUGUUGCAGUUAAAAAGCUCGUAGUUGAAUUUCGGGAUCAAUAUGUUGGUCGUGCCUCGGUACGUACUAGCUUAUUGGUUUCUCCUUUCUGAAGAACCAUGAUGUCAUUUAUUUGGUGUCGUGGGGAAUCAGGACUGUUACUUUGAAAAAUUAGAGUGUUUAAAGCAGGCUCACGCUUGAAUACAUUAGCAUGGAAUAAUGAAAUAGGACGUUUGAUUCUAUUUUGUUGGUUUCUAGGAUCGACGUAAUGAUUAAUAGGGAUAGUUGGGGGCAUUAGUAUUCAAUUGUCAGAGGUGAAAUUCUUGGAUUUAUUGAAGACUAACUACUGCGAAAGCAUUUGCCAAGGAUGUUUUCAUUAAUCAAGAACGAAAGUUAGGGGAUCGAAGACGAUCAGAUACCGUCGUAGUCUUAACCAUAAACUAUAGCCGACUAGGGAUCGGAUGAUGUUAAUUUUUAAUGUACUCAUUCGCGUACCG